This is a non-coding RNA of Rhopilema esculentum, 3500 nucleotides long. The record is from RefSeq and is a predicted model, not a curated record. Lineage: Eukaryota; Metazoa; Cnidaria; Scyphozoa; Rhizostomeae; Rhizostomatidae.
UUUCAUAUAUGUUCUGACGAUUUUUAUUCUGAAGAGUGUUAAACGAAAAGUUUUAGUAUGUUUCAUAAUGUUUGCUUUUUUCAAAGCCACUUCAUCAUGCCAUUAAAGACUCUUCAAAGAACAUACAUACGGAAUGAUCAUUAUAUAACAUGAAAUCUACCAAUCAGUGGCAUAGCGUCCGGGUAUUCAAGGUAUUCAGUGAAUACCCUGAGAUUUCUGGGUAAAAAUAUCAAUACGACGUAUAAUUAUGAUAACUAAAAAAUGCUUUAGGGCUACUUUAUUCUGGUUGAUUUCGUUACCUUUGAUGUUCUACAUUUUCUACAAGUACAAAAUAUCACGAAAUGCAUGGGAACCAUAACGCUGCGAAGCAUAGAGAAGCUGAGAGAUCUUUGAAGCUAAUUUUGAAGAUUGAGCUACUUUAUGUUGAAUGGAGAUCGGUCAGGAAUACGCAGUGAAUACCCUAGAAGGUAUUUUAACCAAUCAAAAUGCUCCUUUCCAUGAAUAAUAUUUGCUCUUAAUCAGCUAAAACAAUUGUCAUGUACGCUGAGAAAUAUGCAGCGUACAGCCUCAAAGUUGGUUCAAAAUAGUCUCGUUUUGAGAUCGAUAUAAACAGUUAAUGGACGUCGGAGCUGUUGGGGUGAUGCAGUUUCAUUGAAAACAGUAAAUAUGACUUAAUUCAAAGCUCUUGCAAUGUCCGUAUUACUGUUUCGUAAUCAUUCUCUCAUUUGACCCCUAAUCUUCAUUUACCCCGUAUUGAAGCGGGCUACCGUUUCUGCGAAUCUGGUCGCGCGAUCGCGCGACUGUUGUUCUAGACGUGCGCAACUAACCCAGUAGCAGUGAUUCCUCAUUGCCCUGGCGAUCGCGCAACUGCUUUUGGGAGUUGAAUAGAUUUUAACUUUUCUCUGACCAGAUUCUCACGAACCAAUAAGAUGCUUUAUUUUUCUUGUCUGGUUUACGUCGUAAAAUGCCUUAUCACCCUGUCUUGUUUUCUUUGGCGCUUAUCCAAAAAAUCAACACUACGCUCUUCUACGCUGAGAAUCUCGUUUAAACGAUGGUAAAAAUAACAAUUAGGCCAGAAGUCAUGUCGAUUUUACGCCAGUUUCAGCAAAGUUAAUCCCUUACAAUAAAUCUUGGGUUUGAAAAUGGAAGCACGGGCAAUACGGAAUCGCAGACGGAAUGGUCUGAAGAAUUAUCUAUUGAGGAACUUAAAUCCUGGUUUCCAUAUAGCCUUAAGGCUGCCUGCGACUGCCUGCGACUGCUUUCUGCCAUCUUCCAUCUUCCACCCUUACAGUAGCGCCGGCAAAUAGAAACGUUCUGUUUUCAAUUGCGUGCAGGAUCGGUAACUAUGCCGGUAACUUGGUAAAGUUUGAGUGGGAAAAUCUGGCGGGCAAAAUUCAACAACAAAGCCCUGUUUUCUAUUGGUUCUUGCACAUCACAUGAUCCGUUUGAACAAAAGAAUGCCGCAGGCAGCCGCAGGCAAGGCGUUUCCAUUUGUAAUUUGUUUGCCGGCGGUACCGGGAGGCUGCCGUAAGAGCCGGGAAAAGUUGAACUCGUUCAACCUUUUCCCGGCUCUCCCGGCAGUCUUACGGCACUUCAAACAGCUGCCUGCGGUACCGUUAGAAAGCGUUUCCAUAAAGAAUUAUCUGCCGGCGAUACCGUAGGGAUGGAAGAUGGAAGAUGGCAGAAAGCAGUCGCAGGCAGCCUUACGGCUAUAUGGAAACCAGGCUUAAACAAUAUCGUUGUUUAUGGGAUACCUCAUGCCGAUCUUAUAAAGAUGGCCCUAAAAAGCAGCAAUCUUGGCGGGAACUGAAUCAGAAAUUUAAAAAAGAGGAGGACACCUUAAAGAAAGUUUGGAAAAAUCUAAAGGAUUGCUUCACAAAGUCCAUCAAAAAAAGGUGCUUGAGUUCGAAUUGAAGAGGAAUUGGGUACUUUGAUUAAUUGCAAGUAAACAUAGAGUCAGUUUUAAUCUCGAGGAAAUAUCACGUACAAAAAGCCAUCUUCGCAAUCAUCAACAUCUACAAUAGAAAGCAUCCCAUUAGUUGCCAGGUUUGCAAAUGAUGGUAACAGAACUGGGGUAUGGCAAGGAUGCAGUAUCAAAAAAGCUGACGUGACACCCUGGUGGCAAGUGGACCUUACAAGGCAAGCUGCGGUCGCAAGUGUCCAGAUAAGAAGUGGCGCAACUUGGGGUCAAUUGAAAAUCAAUCCAUCCGAUGUCAGUGUUGGGGAUGAUAGAUCAAAUGGUGGACGAAACAAUGUACUGUGUGUGAAAGAUGGAACAUUGGAAAUCGGUGAAUUAAAAAAGUUCGAUUGUCCACUGGUCCUGAUGGGUCGCUACGUUAGUGUCUAUUUGAACAGGAAAGAAAUUCUUCAAGUAUGCGAGGUUGAGGUUUAUGAAGAUGUAUUCUGAAAAAAGGCUUCAGAAAUCGCGAUUCGUUCUCUAUUUCCUGGCAAGCACGAAUGCAUUUGAAGAGAAAAGCAAUAUAUCUAGCUACUAGCAGCCAUAGAGGAUUUGCAUGAUGAAUUCAAAAUGCACAAACAAUUCAUGCUUUUACAUGAAAUGCACAUGAAGCCGGAAAAUGUAUACAGUUGUAAUUUAUAUUGUUUGAUUUUCAUAACUAUUCAGUACUGUAAUUAUGAAGAGUGAGGUAGGAGGCACAAAUCUUUUAGUUGUGACUUUUGCUAAAAGCAUGAGAUUUCCAUAACAAAAAAUCAACUUUAUUCCCGAAAUUUUUCCGGAUGUAAUAAGUAUUGUAUUUUCAGGGUUUUUUGUCUAUUCAGUACAGUAAUUAUGAACAGUAGGGUCGAAGGCAGAAAUUUCUUUAGCUGUGACUUUUGCUUAUUCAAGAAAUUUAAAUUACAAAAAACUACUUUUUUCCGAAAAGAUUCUUUAUAAAAACUCUUUUAAGGACGGAAAGCUUGAUGUUUUCUGACUAAGAAAGAAAAAAAAUCUCUAUUGUUUUGACUUUGUUGUAUAUAGCAAAGCAAAGACCACGAUAUAGUGUCAGAAAGUGAUCUGAAUUAAAGUGUUGUUAUUUGACUUAAGCUAUUAUAGUGUUGUUGAUCAUAUGUCGUAAUAUUUUCUGGGCUUUGUUUAGCAGUUCAGGGUUGAUAUUCUUCAGAAAAUUCAAUUCAAGCUUAAAGAAUCCUCAUUAAAAGUAAAGCUUACUAACUUAAAAGACAAGGCCAGAAGGAUUUUAUCAAUAUAUUCCUACGCUGCAAUAAUUAUCUACGAUUCGUGGAUCAUUUAAUAAUAUUAAAGAGUGAAGUACAAGAGUUUGUUUUCCAGUUUCCACAACCUUUCUAUUUGCUAUCCUUUACUAAUGGAACACUUUUUUCAACUUCCGUGUUGCUUUAUAUAGUAGUGUGUUGCUCGAUCUUGGCUCAUACUACUCUUAUAGCAGCAGCAAAAUGCAUCUAAAGAGACAGAAAAACUAAUUGCAAAAGCACACAAAUGGACCAAGGCAAAGUAUGUUAAAUCUAAUUACGCAAAGCAAAGUAGA